UACGGAGGAUCCAAGCGUUGUCCGGAUUUAUUGGGUUUAAAGGGUGCGUAGGUGGCCCUGUAAGUCAGUGGUGAAAUAUCUCAGCUUAACUGAGAGGGUGCCAUUGAUACUGCAGGGCUUGAGUACAGAUGAGGUAGGCGGAAUUGACGGUGUAGCGGUGAAAUGCAUAGAUAUCGUCAAGAACACCGAUAGCGAAGGCAGCUUACCAAGCUGUAACUGACACUGAGGCACGAAAGUGUGGGGAUCAAACAGG
Molecule: unclassified non-coding RNA, 253 nt
Filed under: uncultured Cytophagales bacterium
Lineage: Bacteria; Pseudomonadati; Bacteroidota; Sphingobacteriia; Sphingobacteriales
Description: contains 16S-23S intergenic spacer region
Rfam family: Bacterial small subunit ribosomal RNA
Source: RNAcentral